RNAcentral lists this long non-coding RNA (472 nucleotides) under Lathyrus oleraceus (garden pea). RNAcentral describes it as "Pisum sativum (pea) long non-coding RNA (PSAT_LNC007011)". The record is from RNAcentral. Lineage: Eukaryota; Viridiplantae; Streptophyta; Magnoliopsida; Fabales; Fabaceae.
UACAACUCUCGAAAAUUUCAAUUGGGUGAAUAACUCCUUAUUCCAAUCCAUCAUAUGGAUUAUUCCCAACUCUUGCUUCUAAACAUAUAUAAGAAAAUUAUAAUCAAGUUUGACUCAUCGUUUUAGCAGUUGGAUAUUACAAUUAUCCCAUCGCACCUUAACUAAUACAAAACAUGCACCUCGCGUAGGCGAAACCUACAUUAUUCGAUACCAGUCUUGAUGAGUGCUAAAACUUGGAAAGCAAACAUAUAUAAUAUUCUCAUAAUUUGUUUAGUUAAGUUUGACCCAUUGUUUUAACAGUUGGAUAUUACAAUUAUCCCAUCGCACCUUACUAAUAUAUAGAUCAUGCACCUCGCGUAGGCGAAACCUACAUUAUCCAUUACUAGUCUUGAUGAGUGUUAAAACUUGGAAAGCAUAAACUUAAUAUUUAAUUUGAGGGAAUUGCAAUUUUUCUGAUCUCACCGGCUUGUUU